UAAUGAUACCCGAAUAGUGUUAUGCCCAACCGACGUCGUUUGAAAGAAUAAUUUAGAACUAACUAAUAAAACUAACUAAAAUAUGGUCACGCUAUAAAAUCUGUUCAUAAAUUUAGAACUAUACGCCUUUUAAAUUUAGAACUAUAAUUUUUACAAAACAAAAAUCUUAUAUCUUAUAUCUUAUAUUUAUAUAAAGGAGGAUCCUCAAAGGCUGACCUGGCAUGCUUGAAAAUCUUUCCUUUCAAUUUUCUCAUUUCCUAAUUUUUUCACAUUUUAAUAAUUAAAAAUUUACUUUUAAAGUUGAGAAAUACAAAGGACGGAUGAAAAGGCAAUUUAUGUACAUCUUUUGUAUCUUCAGCUUCCCUUCUACAGGCGCCUUAAUAUUUCCCUUUCAACCGAUGAUUUAUUACAAAUUCAUCACACAGAAGAACCCGUGGUUGAAGAAUACAGUAUAGCUGUUUAGUAUUCUUCCUAAUUUGUUUGCAUCUUUUUCCUUGCAGGUGUAGAAGUUGGGCUCAUGUGUAUAAUCUAUAAUAAUUGGCUUUAGUAUAUUUAUCAAGAAAAUUCCAACGGCGUCCCCGGUCCCAGAUUUUUUUCCCUGAUUAUUUUGGUCAAAUAUGUUUAUUAUUAUUGUUAGGGGUUUGAUUAUCUUUUGUGUUUGCUUUAUCAUAUGAUUUGGCAGUGUGUGAAACUUAGCUUUUUUGAUCUUGAUGUUAGAGGCUUUUGUUUAUAUUGAUCGAACUGAUUGAUUUGCUUUGUGAUUGGUUGAAUUUUUAGCUGAUGGGUGGUUAGGGAUUUGAUUUAUUUUUAGUUAACUUUCGAGUAUUCUAUGUCAGCGACCUACUCGAUGGACCUGGUAUGAGGUCGCCUAACAGUCCAGGCAUACUUUACAGUUGCUUGCUCAAUAUUAAUAUUGUUCAAAUUUAGGUUGGCGCUGGCCAAAGGUCUGUGCCAAAUCAGGUAUGCUCUAGGAUGGAGCAAGGAGUUCAAGUUUUGUGCUUGCUUUUGCAGUCAAGGAGCUCUCCAAGCCAGUAUAGAGGAAUUGCUCAUGCUCUUGCUACAGUGCUUCGUGAAGAAGGGCCCGUGCAUUGUACAAAGGAUGGCUUCCUUCUGUCAUUGGAGUUGUAAGUAUUAAAUAAUCUGGAUUGUUUGUUGUACUAUUUUAUUUAGAUUGUGUGAACUUCUGACAGUGCAUUUUAGUUUAUGCUUUAAGUACUUUCAUUGUUAAUGUCUCUGCUUAGAAUCGCCAUAUCUAGACUCUUUGUGCUAAAGAAUUAGCGAUAUGCUCGGACGUUUGUGGCUCGAUCUAAUGUUGUUGAGCUACUCGAUCUCGGCCAUUAUGAAUACACUCCUGUUUCUAAACUACAGCUAGCUAGAUCACCCGGUAAAGUCAUUGUAUAUCAAAAUAAUAUAAAUAGCAAAACAUGGUAGCAUUAGAAAAGCAGAUUAUGAAUUUAUUUAUAUCUUUGAUUGCGACAUUAGUGUAUCAGGUUGUUUUAAUGAUCUUUGGUAUUUGACCAUGCACAAUUGAUUAAUGUGGGUCGUAAGCAAGAUACUUUGCAGUCUCUUCACGAUCUUAUUACUUCAAAAAGGCACAGGGCAUGGCAGAAGACACAUGAGAAGAUUAUUUGUGUGUGUGUUUUCGUUGGUUCUUGAUGUUAAAGUUUGAAUCUUUUUGACGAUUUGAAAUUGGGUCUGUUGAUGUUUUUGUAAAGGGGUAUUCCACUGAUCAGGUGAAGCAAUUGUUCAAGAGGCUUGCUGUGCAACCAUUGGUUAUUGAAUUGGAUCAACCGGGCUGAAAAGGCAACGACGGUCUUGCGAAAAAGAGCCUGGCAUCAGAGAUGAAACAAGAGGAAAGGAAGGAGGCUGAAGAUCAGAAGCAAGAAGCCCAUGAGUGUAGUUCAACAAACAAAAACAAUGUCAAGGAGGCUGCGCAACACAAGCAAGAAAAGGAUGGAGCUGUCUAACAGACCGUGGCAUUAUAUAGUUUCCUUUGUCCUUUGGCUUGUAACAAGGUGGUUGCACAUGUAAUUUGUCUUAGAAUACAAUUAAAGUGAAUAGUUUUGUUCAAUUUUCUUUCUUGCACACUACAACCAGACUAUACGGCCUGUGACUCUUGUGACUUCCUAUCCCAGUUCGACUGGAAUUCGUUCCAAGCCUGAAAUAGGCUUUUGGGAUCCUAAUUUCUAUAUAAACAUGUUCUUGGAAUUUAUAUAUAACUAAUUUGUAGGUUUUGGUUGUUUA
Long non-coding RNA from Daucus carota subsp. sativus, 2244 nucleotides. RefSeq lists it as uncharacterized. The transcript has 2 exons. The record is from RefSeq and is a predicted model, not a curated record. NCBI's taxonomy places the organism in Eukaryota, Viridiplantae, Streptophyta, Magnoliopsida, Apiales, Apiaceae.